CACCUCCGAUCAAACGAAAUGACCCGCUGAAUUUAA
Molecule: ribosomal RNA, 36 nt
Filed under: Anelosimus baeza
Lineage: Eukaryota; Metazoa; Arthropoda; Arachnida; Araneae; Theridiidae
Description: partial 28S ribosomal RNA
Source: RNAcentral